Molecule: long non-coding RNA, 608 nt
Organism: Hypanus sabinus (Atlantic stingray)
Lineage: Eukaryota; Metazoa; Chordata; Chondrichthyes; Myliobatiformes; Dasyatidae
Exons: 3
Source: RefSeq, a predicted model, not a curated record
GUUCCAGGGAAGGUUGGAAAUGACUCCUUUAUGUGAAAACGUUGGUCAUAAGGAUCUGAAGGUGGUGAUGGGAAUGCCUUCCUGAUAACAGAACUGCAGCUUCUAACAGAUCGUCUUAAGGAGAUGGAGCUGAAAUUGGAUGAACACCGAAUCACUCAAGAGGCUGAGGGGCUGUUGGACAGGACAUUCAGGGAGGUAGCCACAAAGCAAGAAACCUGAAAGAACCUAAUUAAAAAAGUAAAAUAAAGACCUACACCUGAUCUGCAGAGAAAGGGAAUAAAAAGCACAAACCAUGCAAACAAUAUACGCGAGCAACAACAUUCCAAACCAAGAAGAGAUCUUAGUUCCAAAUCCAGAAGCAGCCUGGAGAAGGCCUAAGCUUUGAUAUCAUUCCAUCAUAUUAGCAGGCACGGAGCACAAUGGCCAGGGGUAGUCUUCAUAGACUCAGCACCACGGAGACAGAAGUGAACAUUGUGGAAGCGUGAACGAAAUUGGCUCCCGCUUCCAAUCCUGACUCUAUCUUUCCAGUGUAUCAUUUAAAUUGUCCAAACAGCAUAUCAUACCUUCCACUAGGACUUAGGCACCAUUGCAGCGAAAGGCUCUGGGCC